GAGGGGAGUGCCCUGCUACCCACCUGGAGAGCGGGGAGAGCCUUCCUCGGGGAGCGGCCUGCACUACCAGGGGAGGUCACGAUGGAGAGAACCAGCGGCGAGGGUGGACAGAGUAUACUCCUUGACCCCUGGGCUUUGACCAUGAUUAUGUGACUUGCUUUGGCCCGUGGGAUGUUAGCAGACAGGACACAAGCAGAGGCUUGAAAAGUGCCUGCAAGUUGGAGUUUUCUUCUCUGCUCCUGCCUUUGGCCAUAAGAAGAACAUUUCCUGGGUAACCACUGGACAAGGAAGAUACGGAGACACAUAGAACAGACCUGAACCUGGCCUGUAGCUUGGAACCAAGCCCAGCUGAGCCUGGCUUAGAUUAGCCAACUUGCGAUGUGAUAUUUUUGCUUGAAGACUUGUCAAGUCCUCUCAGACAACCUGAAUGAUUGAUCUAAACCAUCCACUCUACUGGGCAGUCCUGGUGCUGAUUCUGGCCUUCUUUGCACUCACUUCCAAGACAUUUGCAGAAGUGAAAAAACCAGAUAAUCCACCAGAUAUACGUUUGGUUGACAAGGUCAAACAUCUGAAUAUAUGGAAGAUUCUGGAAGCAACAAUGGCUUAAACAAGAUGACAGCCUCUACAUUCCAGGCAGCAGGAUAAAGAAGAGGACAAGGAAAAGGAAGAAAAGGAACCUGCGUUGACAGACACUCCACCAUCUCUCAGUGGAUUCACCUGGAACCCAGUGCCUCCAGGACAGCUGUAACAUGGGAAGAGAAAGCACAGAGGCAGGACACCAGCUCCUAAAUGCCUCAGCCUACAAAUGGCAUUCACCAUUUCUACUCUCAGCCCAUUGGCCAGAACUAGUCACCUGGCCUCCACCUAACUAACAAGGAGGCUGGGAAAUGUGGAGAAGCAUUUGAUUAUUAUCAAUGAGCAAUAAAUGUCUCUGCCAUAUGGGUUAAAACUGUUGAAUUCAGUUAAAAAUUGUAUAUGUGUAUAUGCACAGGCAAUGAUUAAUUGCUAUAGCAAAUUGAAGUUUUGACUGAACACUCUGUCAGUAUUUCACAUCCUUUUCUUCCUCCCAACUGACUUACAGGUGGCUUGGAGCCUCAGAUUUCUUCUAUCCCUUCUAUUCCUUCUAUUCCUUCCAUCUUCUAUUCCUGCUAUCAAUUUGUGCUUGACUCUGUGGAUCCACAGUCUUAAAGAAAAGCCAUAGGAACUGAUGCUAGAUUUUCCCAUCUGGCACAGAGGAGGCCUCCUUUUAAGCAAUAAUAAAAAUAGCCUCCAUUUAUAUUUCGUUUUUCCUCCUUUGUCUCUUCUAUUGAAAGAGCCAGUUAAACAAAGUGUGUGCUUUCGGUGCCUGUUAUGUGCUCACUUUAAGAUUUAAUCAACCCUCUGAACCUGCAGCACAACUGCCUCAUAAUGUUAAGUUAAUAUAUUGAGAUCAGCUCAAACCCAUCAUUCCCAGGGGUGGUUUUGUUUAAAGGCUAGUUGUAACUGAAUUUCUAAACAACUGCCAAGCUUUCAAGGUACCAAAAUAAACAUUAUCCAAAC
RNAcentral lists this long non-coding RNA (1539 nucleotides) under Equus caballus (horse). RNAcentral's name for it is "lncRNA (ENSECAG00000055590.1)". The record is from RNAcentral. Lineage: Eukaryota; Metazoa; Chordata; Mammalia; Perissodactyla; Equidae.